AUGUUUCUCAAUCUCCAUUGCACCCCCUGUCUGACGGGGAGCUGCAGGACUCACCCCACCACUCUACCCAAACGGUGGUCAGGGUGCCGGUGCCGGAGCCCCUUGCGCCACCUCACUCGUCGCGCCAACAGCUCUUCCCUCCCACCUCGACACCGGAGCGUGGCAGACAAACGGCUCGCCUGGCUCGAGCAGCUCAGGCCUCAGCCUCCAAGGAUCCUCGGCUCCCGACCCUCUCUUCCCGCGAGGCCAUGCCUCCUCCCGAGACUGUGCUUUCUUCUCCCCCUCACUCCCCCCAAGGGGCUGAGGAGGAAGAUGUUGAUGUUGACCGCCCAGACUCUGUCCUCUCGGCCUCGGUGGUUUCUCUUGGUCUCGACCUCUCUCCUCCCCACGAUGCGUAUGAGGCGGACCCGCCUUCUCCUACUGACAAUAUUCGUGCUUUCUCUGAUCAAAUGGUCAGAAUGGCCGACGCCCUGGGUUUGGAGAUCAAGCAGACUUCCAAAGAAGUGUCUGAUCCAGUUUUCAAAAGGGUGCAGGCCCAAGCUCCGCCGGCCACGCUACUCCCUUUCCUGCCUUAUCUCUUGGACGUUAUCCAGGCCUCCUGGAAAACCCCUUCCUCCAUUCCUCCGACCUCGAAGAGGAUCGAGACUUGGUACCGUACCGACGAUGAUACCUUGGAAUGGCUCAAACACCACCCCGACCCCAACUCCCUGGUCGUUAAGGCCUCUCAAUCCUCAGGUCGUCAGUCGAACACUCCGGCCGACAGAGAAGGGAAGCGCUUCGACGCCGUGGGUCGAAAACUUUACUCCGGAGCCCUUUUGCUUUGCCGCAUGGCGAACUAUGGAGCCUGCAUGGGUGCCUACCAGCAGAUUAUCUGGGAGAAGGCACAGCCCUUCUUCGCUAAGAUGUCGGACGAAGACCGCUCCGUCCUCACUACCCUCCCAACAGGAAGCAGACUCGCUUGCUCACCACCAAAUACAAAUGGCGAAACAUACAGGUGAUACUGCGGGCAAGAUGAUUGCCCAUGCGAUAUCCAUCCGCCGCCACGCCUGGCUGAGGUCUUCGGGUCUCUCCUCAUCUUCCAGACAGGUCAUUGAAGACCUUCCCUUUGACGCGCUCGGACUAUUUAACUCCGGUACCGAUGACAAACUCAAGUCUAAUCAUGACUUUAAAAUUCUUGCGUCUAAAUGUGGCGACCAACCGCAACCUCAGCGCACCGCUGGUUCCCGCACCCCUCCCGCCGCUUCCCGCCGCAAUCUUUCAGACACCACUCUUUCAGGCGGGCUUCGGGCUCGAAUAAUCAAACCCAUCCCCAACCUCAUCGGGGACCUCAUCCGCAAAAGCAACGCGGUCGAACCACCCCCGCUCCUCCGCAGGCUAACCGGCGUACCUGACGCCAACCCCUGCCAAAGCUCCUCGCCCGCUACCGAUGCAGAGCCCACGCUGCCUCGAUCCUCCGGCGCCUUUGCAGACCGCCUAGCCCCCUUCUACAAUCAAUGGGAGUCUAUUACUUCAGAUGCAUGGGUUCUUCGCAUUGUCCAAGACGGCUACGCCUUAGAGUUCACGGACCUCCCACCUACAGGUCGCAUUCUCCACUCAACUCCUUCCCCAGAGAUACUGGCCGAAGUCGAGGCAUUACUGGCCAAAGGCGCCAUCCGUCCCUCCCCUCCCGAACUGGACCCUUUAAGUUUCUUCUCCAGAUACUUUACAGUCCCGAAGAGAGGAGGCGGGCUACGCCCCAUUCUGGACCUAAGGGCCCUCAAUAUAUUCAUUCGCCCUUCCAAAUUCAGGAUGGUCUCUAUUGCCUCUAUCCUCCCGAUGCUGCAGCGGGGAGACUACUUUGCCUCCAUAGACUUACGAGACGCCUACUUCCACGUGGCGAUACGGGAGACGCACAGACGCUUCCUCUGUUUCAAAGUUCUCGACCAAACCUACCAAUUUACCGUUUUAUCCUUCGGGCUCGUUACGGCCCCGAGGGUCUUUACCAAGGUCGUCGCCGCCGUAGCGGCCCACCUCAGGCUACAUGGCAUCACGGUCUUUCCUUAUCUGGACGACUGGCUUCUCGUCGGGCCCGAUCCGGUUCUUCUCGAAAACCACGUUUCCUUCACGCUGCGUCUUCUAAAAUCUCUCGGCCUCCAACUCAACUCCGAGAAGUCAAAUCUCUCCCCGUCAACCCGAAUCCGGUUCAUCGGGGCCCUCUUCGACUCCGUCACAGAGACUGUUUCACUUCCGUUCGACAGAUUCCUAGCUCUCCGCCACCACAUCGCCCUUUGUCGAUCUGCCCGGAGAGUCAGAGCCCGUGCCAUCCAAGUCCUUCUGGGCCACAUGGCCUCCACGGUUCUCACGACCCCGUUUGCCAGGCUGCGCCUUCGGGUCCUACAAAGGUGGUUUAUAGACACUUUCAAGCCGUCCUACCACCACAACUCCAGAUACCUGUCGGUACCGUUGUUCGUCCGCCAGUCCCUCUCAUGGUGGACGUCUCACCAAAACGUGUGCAGGGGCCUCCCAUUUCAUCCAGCCCCGCCGUCGCUAACCAUAACCACGGACUCCUCCACCUACGCUUGGGGAGCCCACAUGAGCGGUCUAACGGUUCAAGAUCUUUGGUCCCCAUCCGAGAGGGCCAACCACAUAAACUUUCUCGAGCUUCUCGCCAUUCUCAAAGCCCUGAAAGCAUUCUCCCGCCUCAUCCGUCACAAGUCCAUCCUCAUUCAAUCGGACAACCUCGUAGCAGUAUUCUACAUCAACAAACAGGGCGGUACGGGUUCGAGGAAAUUGAUGCUCCUCUCCUCCCGUCUCUGGGUUUGGUGCAUAGCCCACGAUGUACAGGUCUCUGCAAUCCACCUGCCGGGCGCCCAAAACGACCUAGCAGAUGCCCUCAGCAGGAUGACAUCUUCCUCUCACGAGUGGAAGCUCGAUCCCGAGAUCCUCGACGGUCUGUUCCUCGACUGGGGACGCCCUACUCUGGAUCUCUUCGCGUCUCCCCACAACGCUCAGCUACCCCGCUACGGGGCGAGACUUCCCCCGAACUCCUUCCCCGGCUGUCUAGGAGAUGCCUUUCUACUGGACUGGUCGGCGGAGAUGCUUUAUCUUUUUCCACCGAUUCCUCUCAUACCGAAAGUUCUCGAAAGACUUCUCUCGAUCUCGGUCACAGCGAUUCUCAUAGCUCCGGCCUGGCCCCGCCAACCGUGGUAUCCGGCCCUUCUUCGUCUCUCCAGAGCAACGUUUCGCCCUCUGCCUCCCUCGCCGCACCUUCUCUCAAGGGAGGACGGCAAAAUUCUUCACCCGGACCUCCCUUCCCUUCAUCUCACUGCAUGGAGGAUUCUUACCUAG
Molecule: long non-coding RNA, 3327 nt
Organism: Anolis carolinensis (green anole)
Lineage: Eukaryota; Metazoa; Chordata; Lepidosauria; Squamata; Anolidae
Source: Ensembl